AUAAACGCUGGCGGCGUGCUUAACACAUGCAAGUCGAACGGAGUGGUCCUCCCGAAGCGUGAAGGUGCUUGCACCCUAACAAUUCAUUUGGAUCACUUAGUGGCGGACGGGUGAGUAACGCGUGGGAAACCUGCCCUAUACUGGGGGAUAGCAGUUGGAAACGACUGAUAAUACCGCAUAAGCGCACAGUAUCGCAUGGUACAGUGUGAAAAACUCCGGUGGUAUAGGAUGGUCCCGCGUCUGAUUAGCUAGUUGGUGAGGUAACGGCCCACCAAGGCGACGAUCAGUAGCCGGCCUGAGAGGGUGUACGGCCACAUUGGGACUGAGACACGGCCCAAACUCCUACGGGAGGCAGCAGUGGGGAAUAUUGGACAAUGGGGGCAACCCUGAUCCAGCGACGCCGCGUGAGUGAUGAAGUAUCUCGGUAUGUAAAGCUCUAUCAGCAGGGAAGAUAAUGACGGUACCUGACUAAGAAGCACCGGCUAAAUACGUGCC
This 495-nucleotide ribosomal RNA is filed under the name uncultured organism. RNAcentral's name for it is "SSU rRNA". It matches the Rfam family "Bacterial small subunit ribosomal RNA", at positions 29 to 509 of the family's 1533-position model. The record is from RNAcentral.